CUUACACUGAUACUAGAAUGACAAAAGUAGAAAAAAAUCUAGUUCGCCGGGCAUGAAAUACCAAAAGAGAAUAAAGAAAAAGAAAAGAAAAAAAUAAAGCACACAAAUAUUUACAUGAUUCAGCCACAGGCCUACAUCCACGAGCGAAAAUACAGUGCAAAUUUUUAUUAUAAUCAAAGCGGUGUACAAAAUAUGCCUCUUUCAUAAAACCCUAGUCUAAAAAACUAUACUCAUAUUUCUACUCAUCUGACGCACCAAAUCAGCGGAAUAAAUGAUAUAUUUAUAAUAGUGACUAAUCCUAACACAAUUAGAAAUAUAAAUUCAUUAAGAUUAGGACCAAUCUUAAUAAGAUAAUGAGAUAAUCAAAUUAGAAUAGGGUUAAAAAAAAAUCUGGCAGCUCUAGAAUUCGAGACAUAUCUAACAUCACCUAAUGAAGACAUCAAUCCUUGAAGUUUAAUAAGAAAGUUCAUG
RNAcentral lists this long non-coding RNA (471 nucleotides) under Ananas comosus (pineapple). RNAcentral's name for it is "long non-coding RNA (ACOM_LNC025729)". Lineage: Eukaryota; Viridiplantae; Streptophyta; Magnoliopsida; Poales; Bromeliaceae. The record is from RNAcentral.